Molecule: ribosomal RNA, 497 nt
Filed under: uncultured bacterium
Lineage: Bacteria
Description: partial 16S ribosomal RNA
Rfam family: Bacterial small subunit ribosomal RNA
Source: RNAcentral
GACGAACGCUGGCGGCGUGCCUAAUACAUGCAAGUUGAGCGCUGAAGGUUGGUACUUGUACCAACUGGAUGAGCAGCGAACGGGUGAGUAACGCGUGGGGAAUCUGCCUUUGAGCAGGGGACAACAUUUGGAAGCGAAUGCUAAUACCGCAUAAAAACUUUAAACACAAGUUUUAAGUUUGAAAGAUGCAAUUGCAUCACUCAAAGAUGAUCCCGCGUUGUAUUAGCUAGUUGGUGAGGUAAAGGCUCACCAAGGCGAUGAUACAUAGCCGACCUGAGAGGGUGAUCGGCCACAUUGGGACUGAGACACGGCCCAAACUCCUACGGGAGGCAGCAGUAGGGAAUCUUCGGCAAUGGACGAAAGUCUGACCGAGCAACGCCGCGUGAGUGAAGAAGGUUUUCGGAUCGUAAAACUCUGUUGGUAGAGAAGAACGUUGGUGAGAGUGGAAAGCUCACCAAGUGACGGUAACUACCCAGAAAGGGACGGCUAACUACGUG